UGCGUUUUUACUUGACGCUGUUUUCGUCGACCUACGUUGUAUUAUACCGCAUAACUUUCUACUGGAUGUACCGAUUUUGAUAAUUCUUUUUUUUGUUGGAAAGGAGAUAUCCCUAUUUAGUACCAUGAUAAGGAAACCAGGAUCUGAUGAUGGGAUCCUAGAGAAAUCGAGAGAAACUCUUGAAAAUCCGCAAUAACUUUUAACUGGGUGUACCGAU
Molecule: unclassified non-coding RNA, 217 nt
Filed under: Melitaea cinxia (Glanville fritillary)
Lineage: Eukaryota; Metazoa; Arthropoda; Insecta; Lepidoptera; Nymphalidae
Description: misc RNA ENSMCXG00005022115.1
Source: RNAcentral